CCUACGGGUGGCAGCAGUGAGGAAUAUUGGUCAAUGGACGAGAGUCUGAACCAGCCAAGUAGCGUGAAGGAUGACUGCCCUAUGGGUUGUAAACUUCUUUUAUAUGGGAAUAAAGUGUUCACCGAGUGGGACUUUGUAUGUACCAGAUGAAUAAGCAUCGGCUAACUCCGUGCCAGCAGCCGCGGUAAUACGGAGGAUCCGAGCGUUAUCCGGAUUUAUUGGGGUUAAAGGGUGCGUAGGUGGAUUGUUAAGUCAGUUGUGAAAGUUUGCGGCUCAACCGUAAAAUUGCAGUUGAAACUGGGAUUCUUGAGUACAGUAGAGGUGGGCGGAAUGCGUGGUGUAGCGGUGAAAUGCAUAGAUAUCACGAAGAACUCCGAUUGCGAAGGCAGCUCACUGGAGUGCAACUGACACUGAGGCUCGAAAGUGUGGGUAUCAAACAGGAUUAGAUACCCGAGUAGUC
This 460-nucleotide ribosomal RNA is filed under the name uncultured bacterium. Its description in RNAcentral is "partial 16S ribosomal RNA". It matches the Rfam family "Bacterial small subunit ribosomal RNA", at positions 338 to 795 of the family's 1533-position model. The record is from RNAcentral.